RNAcentral lists this ribosomal RNA (731 nucleotides) under Escherichia coli. Its description in RNAcentral is "bacterial SSU rRNA". It matches the Rfam family "Bacterial small subunit ribosomal RNA", at positions 28 to 750 of the family's 1533-position model. The record is from RNAcentral. Lineage: Bacteria; Pseudomonadati; Pseudomonadota; Gammaproteobacteria; Enterobacterales; Enterobacteriaceae.
AUUGAACGCUGGCGGCAGGCCUAACACAUGCAAGUCGAACGGUAACAGGAAGCAGCUUGCUGCUUUGCUGACGAGUGGCGGACGGGUGAGUAAUGUCUGGGAAACUGCCUGAUGGAGGGGGAUAACUACUGGAAACGGUAGCUAAUACCGCAUAACGUCGCAAGACCAAAGAGGGGGACCUUAGGGCCUCUUGCCAUCGGAUGUGCCCAGAUGGGAUUAGCUAGUAGGUGGGGUAACGGCUCACCUAGGCGACGAUCCCUAGCUGGUCUGAGAGGAUGACCAGCCACACUGGAACUGAGACACGGUCCAGACUCCUACGGGAGGCAGCAGUGGGGAAUAUUGCACAAUGGGCGCAAGCCUGAUGCAGCCAUGCCGCGUGUAUGAAGAAGGCCUUCGGGUUGUAAAGUACUUUCAGCGGGGAGGAAGGGAGUAAAGUUAAUACCUUUGCUCAUUGACGUUACCCGCAGAAGAAGCACCGGCUAACUCCGUGCCAGGCCGCGGUAAUACGGAGGGUGCAAGCGUUAAUCGGAAUUACUGGGCGUAAAGCGCACGCAGGCGGUUUGUUAAGUCAGAUGUGAAAUCCCCGGGCUCAACCUGGGAACUGCAUCUGAUACUGGCAAGCUUGAGUCUCGUAGAGGGGGGUAGAAUUCCAGGUGUAGCGGUGAAAUGCGUAGAGAUCUGGAGGAAUACCGGUGGCGAAGGCGGCCCCCUGGACGAAGACUGACGCUCAG